GUUUGACUUCACAUUAUACUCAAAUGAUUUCUUGAACUCCAUCUUUUGCAGAUCUUUAUCCUAUACAAAAAGUGUAGGAAAAUAUUGCAAGCUUUUCCGAUUACAGUUCAAUUUCAUAUUUCCCCAGUCUAAACCACCAAAUGAUCGACCAUUAUUGACUCUACCAAGACAGUUAACACCUCACCAAGUCUCAUCAACUGAGUCAUAAUGCAUUUAUUAACAAGGUCUUUAGAUUUGACCUGCCCGGUGGAAUCACCAGAAAGUAUCAUGACCCCUUACUAAUAAAGUCUCUAAAAUAAAUCAGAUUUCUCUGCUGGUCUGAACUUACUUCGCACUUCUUACUAUUCAUUUCCAGGAAGAUCUGCAAAUCUGUGCUUUGUGUUCAUCCAUAAUGAACUGAAAAUCAGGUUCUCUACCCCAGGCAUCAGAGCGCAGGGGCCUUCAGAAGGCACUGCAUGGCUGCUGGUUUGGAGUCUGGGCAGCAUGAGAGAACCUCUUACUGUGUCCAGUUCCCUAUGUUAUUUGACCAAAAGCCGAGACUUUGGCGUGUGAUUAUGUGCCCCAAUCUCUGAUUCAGAAUUUCUCCAAGUUUGAAGGCUUCACCUUUUUCAGUCUCCAGACCCAUGGGAUUGGGACUUCAUUUACAUUUAUGGUUGGUUUUAUGGUCAGCAGAACUGGUGACUCUCUAAUUGGUGUAAAAAGAGACUCCCACAUUUCAAACCCACUGGGUCCUCUGUAUGAUGGCCUUAGCAAAUGUUGGUUAUGGCCCCUUAGAGCUCUGUUGGCUGGGUUGUUCGGCUCUCAUUUUAAGACACUGCUGUUAAAAAGCAAAUAUUUGUGAAGAUUCUUAUUAGAUAAUUUCUAAGGGAGGGCCCUUGGAAGCCCAAUGAACAUGGAUUCCCAUUUUGGUUCUUCAACUUAAUAGCUGAGUGAUCCACAAAGUUUUUGAGCCUCAGUGUCCUCAUCUGCAGAGAUGAGUGUAACAAUACCUACUUCAUUGAAUUGUUCUCAUAAUUCAGUGGGGGCUUUCAAAGGCUAUUAUUGUUAUGAAGUGCUAUGGAAAUGGUAAUAAUUUUUGCUUAUUCUUUUCCUUCCUCUUGCCUUAACCUUGGCAGGGGGUGGGGGCCGUGACUGGCAUCCAGGACAAACAAUAGACAAUGAUAAAGAAUGUUUGUAAAAAUAAAGAACUCAAGGCAGGUGGCAAAAGUCUCUGGGGUACAGAGGGGAGCAUAGGACAGAAGGGUGAGAACCAUGAGUAAAGGCAAUAUAUACGUCAAGUGAGAGGGGUCCCUCUUUCUUGACCCUUUUGUGGAGCAGUGGGUGUCAGCACUCAUUUUAUUGCAGGAGGUGGGGAGGGGCUAUACUAUGCAGCUUUUUCAUUGAUGUGUUUUCUUUUGGAGGGGCCUGGACAGUAUUAAGGCAAUGAAGAGGGUUAGAUUCCAGAAGAAUGGACACGGAAUUGUAAACAGGAGGCGGGAGGCUCGCUGAAGGUAAACGGCGCCCAUUCACCACCUUCGCUCAGACAGAUCCCGGUUUUGUCCUUGAUGUUGCCCAUAUUCAUGUGGGGCACCCAGCUUGGGGAUGGGAGUCAGCCGGAAUGCAAUUUGAUGGGUUUCACUGGUGAGUCAAAGGGACAUGAACAUCAACCAAGGAGCUGUGUCAAACCCAGAGGAAAAGCUGGGGGCUCUGAUGUGGGGUCUGGUUGUAGCCCCUCACUCUCAGGGGUCUGCAUGGAGUGUUGGGCAUCCUAUCCAUGUGACCUUGGAUAUGUUUCCCAACCUCUCUCUGAGCCUCAGUUUCCCAAUAUUAUCUAAUAUUACUACCUAUGUCACUUAUUACAAUAUUAUGUCUGAUGUUACCACUCAUUUAUUUAUUUAUUUUUUGAGGAAGAUUAGCUCUGAGCUAACAUCCGUUCCCAAUCCUCCUCUUUUUGCUGAGGAAGAUUGGCCCUGAGCUAACCUCUGUGCCCAUCUUGUACUUUAUAUGUAGAACGCAUGCCACAGCAUGGCUUGAUAAGCGGUGCAUAGGUCUGCACCUGGGAUCCGAGCCAGUGAACCCCAGGCCGCUGAAGCGGAGCUCAAGAACUUAACUGCUGCGCCACUGGGCUGGCCCCACUACUUAUGUUUUUUUGUGAUGAUUAAGUGAAAGGGUCCAAAGAGGGCAAUUGACCUGUCCCAAGUCAUCCCCUGAAUGGGCACAGAAAUGGGACAGAGAUGGAGCAUGUCACAUCCAAAAGUUCUACGCCAGAUGCAACAGUUGGCAGGGUUUGGACCAGGCUACUACCCUUGCAAAGAGGCACAUGGUGCCCAAGGGAAUGGGGAACGCUGAAACAUUGCAUUGCAGGGGAAAGAAGACAACGUGAGAAUCAAAUAUGUGGAUUCUUCUCCUAGGCUGCCCUGCCAGUCAUGUACCAGGAAGCACCAGGACUAGGAUUGGGAAACUAUGGCCUAAGGGCUAAAUUCAACUCACUACCUAUAUUUGAACAGCCAGUGAAAUAAGAAUGGCGUUUACAUUUUUAAAUGAUUGGAAAAUUUUUUUUAAAAGAAUAACAUUUCCAUGACAUGGGAAAAUUAUAUGAAAUUUGAAUUUUGGUGUCCGUAAAGUUUUAUUAGAACAACAGCUGUGUCCAUGCUUUUACGCAUUGUCUAUGACUGCUUUUGUGCUAUGCAGCAGAGGUGGGUAGUUGUGAGGGAGACCAUGUGUAGCCCACAAAGUCGAAAGUACUUACUAUCUGGCCCUUUACAGGAAAGUUUGCCAGUACCUGGACUAGAUGCCUCUGGAAGGUCCUGGCGGCUCUCACAUUCUAGACAGGAUGCUACAUUUAGCUUUGGAGUCUUCCCACCUCCCCCUUCAGCAUCAGUUCUCCUUGUGAAUUCUCCAUCUGUUUCUCAGUGCUGGUCCCUACCCCUUGCUGUCCUGUGUGGUUGGAUUCAGCCAAAGGGAAGCGGUGUUCAGACCCACAAGGAGGGCGUGGCUUAAACCCUGGGUUCUCACAAAAGGUGCUUCAGCAGGGGGGCAGGGAAGCGUGGGAGGAAGGGAUGCUGGACAUCCAACAGAAAACCAUUUCUUAGUCAUCACGGUUAUGUUUUGAUGAACCAAAAAUUGAGCCAGCGCAGUGUUGCAGUUUCCUCGGUGUCUCUAAAAGCUCAGAUUCAUGGAGGAAUUUCUACUGGGCUUGAGACAAGGACCAACCUCUGGGAAGGGUCUGUAACAGGGUAGACUUUCAGGAGGGGAAAGGCCAUUUUUUCCUAAGUUCCUUCUUCCUUUUUCUGCCUUCCUGUUUAGAUCAGAUCAGGAGACAGGAGUCUGGGAGGGUGAUUCCACAGCCUGGAGAAGAACCCUGGAUUAAGUGCUGCGCCUGCAGAGAGAGGCGUCAAUGGCUGGACCCCUCCCAGCCCUGAACUUAACGCAGUCUUCCAGAUACGGCUUGAACAAUGAAGAGUACAGUGGAACCAUUUAAUCCUUAUUUAGGACAACAAUCUUCUUCUAAGGCACACUAAUGCGAUCCUGGCUUGUGGUGGUGGUGUUGUUUGGGACAGUCACACUACUGGAGGAACCGUACUGGGUUUGGAGUCAAGACAUCUGGGUUCUUUCUAGCUGUUUCAUUCAUUUUCCCAGCAAAUGUUUAUUGGGCUCCCACCAUGUGCUGUGCACUGGGGGUACACUGGUGAGCAGAACAGACAACAGAACCCCAGUGAGGGAGCAAGUGCUGGUCAAACAGUCAAACGUAUAACACAAUGCCAGGGAGGGACAAACACAAUAAAUAAAAACAAAGCAAAACAGACAAACAAAAGUAGAACUGGCUAAGGGAUUCAUGGAGUUCUGACACUAACUAGCUGUGUAGACGUGGUAGAGCGAAGUGAGGGGGCUGACUGGUCAUCCCCUUUGCCUCUAUUCCUAUACGGAGCAGUGCCUUUUAAAAAUUUCUUCACUUGGCCUCUGUGUGUAAUUCUAAUUGACAAAAAUCUUCUAGUGUUUAAAAAAGCUUGAGAUCCUCUCUAUAUUGGGUAGUUUCUGGGUUCUCUUCUACCUCAAAGACUGUGGGAACCGCUGGGAUUUUUUCAUAUGAACUUCUAUAAACCAGAUCUCCCGUAUUGUACUCGUGCUUCAAUCAGUGUAUUACUUACAUUUAUUGGUGUGAAUUUUUGUCUUCUUAGUUUUGGUCUAUUGAUCUAAUAGGCUGAGAUAAUUUUGCAACAUUAAUUCUAACAUCUUACAUAUUAGUGAUACCUCCCCACUUUGGUUUUUCUGCUAAUCUGUUUUACGUACAUUUUAUAUCUUCA
This 4283-nucleotide long non-coding RNA is filed under the name Equus caballus (horse). RNAcentral's name for it is "lncRNA (ENSECAG00000049358.1)". The record is from RNAcentral. Lineage: Eukaryota; Metazoa; Chordata; Mammalia; Perissodactyla; Equidae.